This 385-nucleotide long non-coding RNA is filed under the name Nicotiana benthamiana. Its description in RNAcentral is "long non-coding RNA (NBEN_LNC026116)". Lineage: Eukaryota; Viridiplantae; Streptophyta; Magnoliopsida; Solanales; Solanaceae. The record is from RNAcentral.
UUCUCUUUUUGCUUCAUUGAUUUUUUUCUCUUGAUUCAAAUACACUAAAACUGAUCUUAAGUAACUCUAGUAUAUCUUUGAGUUCAUUUGGCUUGUGUUGAUAUUGUUGUGAGUCAAAGUCCACUUCAGUUGGUAUUUUCUGGUUUGAUUUUACUGGGUUUCUGGUCUAUUGCUGUUGGUUUGCUGGAUUUUAUUAAAAUCUGUUGUUGGGUUUAGCUACUGCUGUUGCUGUUUUGCUGUGUUGAUUACUGCCUUGUUGAUUUCUCACCUUCCUAUUCUCUUGUUUCCAAUAUAAGGUACUUGACUGUAACACUAUUUAAGCUGAAAAUAUGAAGGCAUAAAUGCAUAUGAAAUUGAAGUUGGAAGUUUGAUUAAAUUGUUUCUU